AGAAACUUUCAGAAGUGCCUAAUGAUUUGAGAUACCUUAAUUCUAAGUCUUCAACUUAAGACUACCUGAAGAGAUUGGAAAAGCAGAGCACCCACCCACCCUCUGGAAAUCAGCUUUCUGAAGCACAGUACACAUAGUCACUAGUCACCUCAGAAAAUCUACACCAACAUUUGUUUAUUGCUUUUUGCAAUCAAGAUCACUGACUUCUUCAGUGGAAGGAGGUGACCUCUGAGGAGAAGGUCUCCUGGAGGGCUCGCCUGACAGUUACAUACUUGAUGUUUCUUCCGCUCUUCCUGUGCCAAUAUUCUGAAUGGCUGCUGCUUAGUCAGAAUGACAGACGAAGUCGGGUGAAUCAGUAUGCUGUAUACCAUGUCAUUUCUCUUAACGAGCACCAAGAUAUCUUUAAAAGCACUUUACAGAAACUGUCAGAAACCUGAGCGCCCCCAUUGGCAGAUGUGGGGUGGCUGGCGGCAUUCCAUAUGUGUUGGCAGUGCCAAGCCUAAAGUGGUUUGACCUAGUGUGAAAUGUCUCACUCUCGCAGAGAUCUGGCCUUCCUUCAGGUGCUCAUAAUAGUCCGUGGUGGUGUUGCAUCAUCUUUGGCCACAUCACCAGGAUGGAAAACACUGCAACACAUCAUGCUCUCAAAUGCUCCAUCGACAUGAGACGGGGUGCACGUCCUGCCCCCUACCUGGCGG
Mauremys reevesii (Reeves's turtle) is the source of this 695-nucleotide long non-coding RNA. RefSeq lists it as uncharacterized. Lineage: Eukaryota; Metazoa; Chordata; Testudines; Geoemydidae. The record is from RefSeq and is a predicted model, not a curated record. The transcript is spliced from 3 exons.